RNAcentral lists this ribosomal RNA (253 nucleotides) under uncultured bacterium. RNAcentral describes it as "partial 16S ribosomal RNA". It matches the Rfam family "Bacterial small subunit ribosomal RNA", at positions 524 to 776 of the family's 1533-position model. The record is from RNAcentral.
UACGGAGGGUGCAAGCGUUAUCCGGAUUUACUGGGUUUAAAGGGUGCGUAGGUGGGUAGGAAAGUCAGUGGUGAAAUCUUCGGGCUUAACCCGGAAACUGCCAUUGAUACUAUUUAUCUUGAAUACUUUGGAGGUAAGCGGAAUAUGUCAUGUAGCGGUGAAAUGCUUAGAUAUGACAUAGAGCACCAAUUGCGAAGGCAGCUUACUACACAGUUAUUGACACUGAGGCACGAAAGCGUGGGGAUCAAACAGG